RNAcentral lists this ribosomal RNA (371 nucleotides) under uncultured organism. RNAcentral's name for it is "partial 16S ribosomal RNA". It matches the Rfam family "Bacterial small subunit ribosomal RNA", at positions 527 to 896 of the family's 1533-position model. The record is from RNAcentral.
AGAGAGUGCAAGCGUUAAUCGGAAUUACUGGGCGUAAAGCGCGCGUAGGUGGAUACUUAAGUCGGAUGUGAAAGCCCCGGGCUCAACCUGGGAAUUGCACUCGAAACUGGGUAUCUAGAGUAUAGUAGAGGGAAGUGGAAUUUCCGGUGUAGCGGUGAAAUGCGUAGAUAUCGGAAAGAACACCAGUGGCGAAGGCGGCUUCCUGGACUAAUACUGACACUGAGGUGCGAAAGCGUGGGGAGCAAACAGGGAUUAGAGACCCUGGUAGUCCACGCCGUCAACGAUGAGAACUAGCUGUUGGGGGAGUUUAUCUUCUUAGUAGCGAAGCUAACGCGUUAAGUUCUCCGCCUGGGGAUACGGCCGCAAGGUUA